GUAGGGAUUUGGAGAUGUUGAUAUUCCAUGGUUGAUGGAUAGGUUUCUAAGAUGUUUGAAGAUGAAGACUUGGUGAGUCCUCAUAUAUUCGAGGACAAUAACCAACAUGUUCCUUUAUGUCUUGUAGUUUUGUUAUAGUUUUGAGUGGGCUUAGUCCCAUUGUUGUAUUCAAGUAUUAGAUGGUUUUGAGACAUCUUGGAUAAAGUCUAGAAAGUCUUCCGC
This 222-nucleotide long non-coding RNA is filed under the name Solanum tuberosum (potato). RNAcentral's name for it is "long non-coding RNA (STUB_LNC001637)". The record is from RNAcentral. Lineage: Eukaryota; Viridiplantae; Streptophyta; Magnoliopsida; Solanales; Solanaceae.